UCUGCCACUUACAAUACCCCG
RNAcentral lists this non-coding RNA (21 nucleotides) under Arabidopsis thaliana (thale cress). The record is from RNAcentral. Lineage: Eukaryota; Viridiplantae; Streptophyta; Magnoliopsida; Brassicales; Brassicaceae.